GGAUGUAAGAGUGAUCGGGCUGGGACAUGUGUCACCCCACUGAUCACUAGAGUGAUAUGGCUGAUCUUGUUGGCCAGGCGGGUGUCCUCUUCCUCCCUCACUACUCCAUGUGUGUCCCUUGUGAAACUAUGAGCCUUCCGUGAUUGAGGAGGCCUGUUCUUUUGUUAAGGGCAUAGGAAUAGCUUCACUCCCCUUCUAGAACUUCCAGGCAAUCUCUGGGGGUCCAUUUUUAGGAGACCAUAGGGUAGUCAAGCUUCCAAGACUCCCGGUAUAUCUAAAUGAGGCACUGCGUAUGGCUGUCUGUAUUUCUUU
RNAcentral lists this small nuclear RNA (312 nucleotides) under Mustela putorius furo (domestic ferret). Its description in RNAcentral is "7SK RNA (ENSMPUG00000021681.1)". It matches the Rfam family "7SK RNA". Rfam says of the family: 7SK was discovered as an abundant small nuclear RNA in the mid-70s but a possible function has only recently been suggested. The record is from Rfam by way of RNAcentral. Lineage: Eukaryota; Metazoa; Chordata; Mammalia; Carnivora; Mustelidae.